CAAGAUUCCAAAACCACAGCCAUAAACUAAAAAUAAAGUACAGAAAAUAAAAAUGAACACGGAGAAUUUUUCGACUAAAGCCCUGAGGUUUGGUGACCACUUCUAACGUCUAAUCCCCUGUUGAUCAUCCUUUAAAAUGGAUAAAGCUCGAUUGCACUAUAAAGCCCCAAAAUAGGCAGCAAAUAUACAAUAAUGUUCCAGAAAAUACAACAAAUAGUCACCAAGACUUAUCUUUAAAAUAAGGCACAAAUCAAGCCUUACUCUACUAAGGAUUCAAAACCCGAAUCACACAGAUAACCAAAAGUGAACGGCCCUCUUCGAACCACCGAAAAUGGGUGCUCUUUCACAGAAUAUUACUUUCCACCAAGGGAACUAUACAAAUCAGCCUCUAUAUUAUACAAUACUAAGCUGAAAAACACUAAGUUUUCGCAAUAAAAAUCGGCCAACAAAGAGUCACACGGAUUCAACUCAACCAAGACUAAAUUAGCAGAAUACCCAUAUAGAUCUUGAAUAUUUCAUGCUGUUUUUUGAGAUUAUUUUCAAAAAAAAAAAAACCACCAGAAAAUUAACCCCUAAAAUCACAAAGAAGGAAGAUGUAGUCUUGCACAAGAAGAGAGAGAAAUGAAGAGCUCUUUUAUUGAGAGUGAGACGUUUGAGGGAGAAAGAGUGAGUGUGAC
This 677-nucleotide long non-coding RNA is filed under the name Olea europaea subsp. europaea. The record is from RNAcentral. Lineage: Eukaryota; Viridiplantae; Streptophyta; Magnoliopsida; Lamiales; Oleaceae.